RNAcentral lists this ribosomal RNA (108 nucleotides) under Micrococcus luteus. RNAcentral describes it as "partial 23S ribosomal RNA". It matches the Rfam family "Bacterial large subunit ribosomal RNA", at positions 1 to 101 of the family's 2925-position model. The record is from RNAcentral. Lineage: Bacteria; Bacillati; Actinomycetota; Actinomycetes; Micrococcales; Micrococcaceae.
AUUGUGUGUGAAAGUUUCUAAGGGCGCAUGGUGGAUGCCUUGGCAACAGGAGCCGAAGAAGGACGUGGGAUCUGCGAUAAGCCUGGUGGAGUCGAUAACCGGACGUGA